UGGGAGCGGGCUCCCCACCCCAGUCCGCCCCUCUAAAUCCCCCAGCCUCCUCCCCGCGCCCCCGGCCCUUUCCUCCAGCCCAGCCCGGCCCCGUUUUCUCCGGGCGUGGACCCAGUUCCCCUCCCCGAGGCACCGGGCGCAUCCCGCCCCCGCCCUGGAGGGAAGAUGCACGUGAACAAAGCGAAUCGGGGGAGGCCGAAACGGCAGAAAAAGGCAACAAGACAGAGGGAAAGAGCAUGGAUGUCAGGAAGCAGUCGAGAGAAGGGAGGAUUGCCCUCUGGCUGGCCAGAAGGGGUCAGGAGCAUCAUGUGGUUUCUGCCCUUCUGGAAUAUAUUGUCUAGCUGCGAAGGAAAGAACAUGGAAAGAUGGAGGGAAAGAAGGAGGAGGAGAAGAAAGAGGAGG
Molecule: long non-coding RNA, 402 nt
Organism: Lontra canadensis (Northern American river otter)
Lineage: Eukaryota; Metazoa; Chordata; Mammalia; Carnivora; Mustelidae
Exons: 3
Source: RefSeq, a predicted model, not a curated record